Molecule: ribosomal RNA, 252 nt
Filed under: uncultured bacterium
Lineage: Bacteria
Description: partial 16S ribosomal RNA
Rfam family: Bacterial small subunit ribosomal RNA
Source: RNAcentral
UACGGAGGAUGCGAGCGUUAUCCGGAUUUAUUGGGUUUAAAGGGUGCGUAGGCGGGCUUUUAAGUCAGCGGUAAAAAUUCGGGGCUCAACCCCGUCCGGCCGUUGAAACUGGGGGUCUUGAGUGGGCGAGAAGAAGGCGGAAUGCGUGGUGUAGCGGUGAAAUGCAUAGAUAUCACGCAGAACCCCGAUUGCGAAGGCAGCCUUCCGGCGCCCUACUGACGCUGAGGCACGAAAGUGCGGGGAUCGAACGGG